CCGCCGGAGCUGGGAGACCUCAUCAAGGGCCCGCCUCCCAGCCGGGAAAGAGGAGUGGACUCGGGAUUGCCUGGGCAGUGGGGCAGGACCGCGCGUGUGGCUGCCUAGGGCGCCCCAGAGGCUUUGUAGGGGCGCGCUGUGCGCGGCUCCGGGGACUGGUGGUCCCUACGCGGCUGGGCAUUGCGCGGAUGGCCCUGCUUCGGUGUCCCGCACUCGCUUUCCUCCUCCUGGUCCACACUGCGGUGCUCAGGUGCCAGGAAGAGGCUCAGACCACCGACUGGAGGGCCACCCUAAAGACUAUCCGGAACGGCGUUCACAAGAUCGAUAUGUACCUAAACGCCGCCUUGGACCUCCUGGGAGGCGAGGAUGGUCUCUGUCAGUAUAAGUGCAGUGACGGAUCUAAGCCUUUCCCACGCUAUGGUUUUAAACCCUCCCCGCCGAAUGGAUGUGGCUCUCCACUAUUUGGUGUUCACCUUAAUAUCGGCAUCCCUUCCCUGACAAAGUGCUGCAACCACCACGACAGGUGCUAUGAGACCUGCGGCAAGAGCAAGAACGACUGUGACGAGGAGUUCCAGUACUGCCUCUCCAAGAUCUGCCGGGAGGUGCAGAAAACUCUAGGACUCACUCAGCAUGUCCAGGCCUGUGAAACAGCAGUGGAGCUCUUGUUUGACAGUGUUAUACACUUAGGCUGUAAACCGUACCUGGACAGCCAACGAGCCGCCUGUUGGUGUCGCUAUGAAGAAAAAACCGAUCUUUAAAGAAGAUGCUGACAGGUGGUGCCAGUGAGGAUGAAAGAACAUAACCUUUGGCAAAGAACUAAUGGUUUUUACAGCAUGAAACUGCCUGAUUCUUAUUGAUCCAAUCAAGAACACCACACUGCAUUUAGUCAUGUCUGCUCAACCUCUGGUCUAUGAUGGUUCAUCAGUCUUUCCUUGUUUUUCAUAAACUUGGUAGUUUUAAAAAGUAUUGGUCAGAUGUCCUGUAGAAUGCCCCUCAGUUUGGGUUUGUCUGAUGUUUUCCUCAUGAUUGGACUGUGGUUAUGGAUUUGAGGAGGAAAAUCAGAGGUGAAGGGUUCUCGGUAAAUCAUAUGAGGAGUUGAAUACUGUCAAGUUGAUGUUGUGAUAACUUUAGAUACUUGGCUAAGGUAGUGUCUGUUAGCUAUCUCCACUGUAGAUACUUGGCUAAGGUAGUGUCUGUUAGCUAUCUCCACUGUACAGUUACCAUUUUCCCUUUUCAUACUUUCGUUCUUUGGAGGCCAGUCAUCAAGUUCAGUCUAUGGGAAGUGAAGGGGGGGCAAGAUGACCUUCUAUCCCCUGGAAGGGGGCGUAUCUAUGUGUAGUGCUUGGAAUUCUUCUGUAACAAAGAUUUGUGGCCCCCCCCCAUUUACUUACUUAGUUAUUUAUAGCAGUAUGGACUCAUGUAUACUUCUUUUAUGCUCUGGAUAAUGUUUAUUUUGUUGCUCAAAUCAUUCUAGCUUGGCUAUUGGGAGUUCAGUCAGGUUGGCCCCUGGGUCUCUGAUAUGCCCAUCCUUUGGGUCUCUGAGCAUUUCCACAGUUUCCGGCAAGAAAGUAGGAAAGUUGCUCCAGGCUCAUCCUGCAUAUUCCCAGCCCUAACGCCAGCCUCUUCGGUUCCUUUUACUGGAGAUUGGUUUCUGAUGAACCUUAGAAACCAAGAUCUGGACACUGGAUGUGCUUGUGGCUACCGAAUACCACUGCUUCUAGACACUCCCAGCAAACAGAGCUAUGAAAUAUAUACAGGGUGGGACAAAAGUAAGUUUACGGUUCACGUGGAAAAUAAUAUAGUAAUUAAGAAAUAAUAAUACAAGAGUAAACUCUGUUUUUCAUGUACUCACAACUGUAAACCUACUUUUACCCCUCCCUGUAUAUAUGUCAACAUGUACACACCUGAAAUUAGCUGUGUGUACAUAAAUAUACAUACAUUUGAGUUUGUAUUGAUGUUUUCACUUGAAUUCUGUGCCAUGGGGCAUAUAUUUAUAUUUUAAGAGUGGUAUUUUCCCUAUCCACAGAAUACAUUUUAAAAAAAGCAAAAUUUUUAAGAUUUUAAUUACUUUCAGAAAGAGGGGAAGGGAGGGAGAGGGACACUGAUGUGUGAGAGAAACAUCGAUCGGUUGCCUCUGGCACGGCCCCAGCCAGUGACCUGGCCCAUAACCCAGGCAUGUGUCCUGACCAGGAAUCGAACUGGUCACCUUUUGUUUCACAGGCCAGUGCCCAAUCCACUGAGCCACACCAGCUGGAACAAAAAGCCAAAGAGUUUUUAAAACCAACCCCCAAAGCUAGUUUUAGCAGCUCUUUGUAAGAAAUAUGAUAUUGAUCUUUGAAAAUAAUAAAACUACAUUGCUUUAAAAUAAUGCAUGUCUCUUCAAAAGCUUUUGACACACUUCUUCCAGGAACAGAUAUGGCUGCACUCAUUUCAUGGUGAGGUCAAGAGCGAAUUAAGCACAUCUUAGGGAGCAGUCUUCCUUUCACUGAAGUCCUAACCAGACUGGUAAUACUAAUUAAGAAGUUUUGGUAACUUAUAACUAAUUCUCCCUAAUUAAGUACAAAGUGCUAUUUCUGUUAGUAUUUAUAGAAGUACAAGAUUACAAGGUCAUUUUAUCCUGGUACAAAAUAAGAAUAACAUUUAAUGAAAUGAAGACAGUGGAGUCUUUCUGUAAAAACAAUGUUUAGUAGACUGACUAAAGGCACUUUGUGGAGUAGAAUGAGAUGUAUCAGGUAAGAUCCACCCACAUGUACUAUAUUGCGCUGUUCUAAAAUUUGCUGAUAUUACCUGCUAUAUAUUUAUUCAAACUUGUGUAAUGACUGGCUGUACUUGAAGUAGUCCCUUCAGUUUGCGAUUUUUUUCUCUGCUUUACCUUACAAAAACAGCCACCUGCUCAAAUCAUAAGUGCAAGAAUGAACCAGUGCUAUAAACACAUGAAAAAUAAUUUUAAAUAAAAAUAAUGAAAACUGGGUCAAUAGUAUCAUCUUUGCAGAUAAGCGACAGUUGUUUGUUUCCCACAGCCUUAUUAGGUUUCCCCCAAAAUUUUCAGAGCCUUGCUGACAACUUUUCAAACAUUUCUUUGUUGGCUCUCAAGUUUGAAGUGUAAGC
Molecule: RNA transcript, 3108 nt
Organism: Artibeus jamaicensis (Jamaican fruit-eating bat)
Lineage: Eukaryota; Metazoa; Chordata; Mammalia; Chiroptera; Phyllostomidae
Gene: PLA2G12A
Gene name: phospholipase A2 group XIIA
Exons: 5
Source: RefSeq, a predicted model, not a curated record